CCUACGGACAGCUGCAGUGGGGAAUAUUGGACAAUGGGCGAAAGCCUGAUCCAGCCAUGCCGCGUGUGUGAAGAAGGCCUUCGGGUUGUAAAGCACUUUCAGUGGGGAAGAAAGCCUUGGGGCUAAUACCCUCGAGGAAGGACAUCACCCACAGAAGAAGCACCGGCUAACUCCGUGCCAGCAGCCGCGGUAAUACGGAGGGUGCGAGCGUUAAUCGGAAUUACUGGGCGUAAAGCGCGCGUAGGCGGUCUGAUAAGCCGGUUGUGAAAGCCCCGGGCUCAACCUGCGAACGGCAUCCGGAACUGUCAGGAUAGAGUGCAGGAGAGGAAGGUAGACUUCCCGGUGUAGCGGUGAAAUGCGUAGAGAUCGGGAGGAAUACCAGUGGCGAAGGCGGCCUUCUGGACUGACACUGACGCUGAGGUGCGAAAGCGUGGGUAGCAAACAGGAUUAGAUACCCCAGUAGUC
RNAcentral lists this ribosomal RNA (465 nucleotides) under Vreelandella stevensii. RNAcentral's name for it is "partial 16S ribosomal RNA". It matches the Rfam family "Bacterial small subunit ribosomal RNA", at positions 338 to 795 of the family's 1533-position model. Lineage: Bacteria; Pseudomonadati; Pseudomonadota; Gammaproteobacteria; Oceanospirillales; Halomonadaceae. The record is from RNAcentral.